This 293-nucleotide unclassified non-coding RNA is filed under the name uncultured Agaricales. Its description in RNAcentral is "sequence contains ITS2". The stretch from base 1 to 52 matches the Rfam family "5.8S ribosomal RNA", at positions 103 to 154 of the family's 154-position model. Lineage: Eukaryota; Fungi; Basidiomycota; Agaricomycetes; Agaricales. The record is from RNAcentral.
AACGCACCUUGCGCUCCUUGGUAUUCCGAGGAGCAUGCCUGUUUGAGUGUCAUUAAUUUCUCAACCUCACCAGCUUUUGUUGUGUGAAGGCUUGGAUGUGGGGGGUUGCAGGUCCGCAUUUAUGUGGUCUGCUCCUCUAAAACGUAUUAGUGGGUUAGUCCCCUAAUCUAUUGGUGUGAUAAUUAUCUACGCCGUGGAUUUGGAUGGCUAUUAUAGACCCGCUUCUAACCGUCCCUCGGGACAAUUUUGACAAUUUUGACCUCAAAUCAGGUAAGACUACCCGCUGAACUUAA